This 228-nucleotide ribosomal RNA is filed under the name Fragilariopsis kerguelensis. RNAcentral describes it as "partial Eukaryotic large subunit ribosomal RNA". Lineage: Eukaryota; Bacillariophyta; Bacillariophyceae; Bacillariales; Bacillariaceae. The record is from RNAcentral.
GGCAUUCUCCUCCGAUCUAUCUUAGACUGUAACUUGUUAUAGAUACAGGAUCUGACGAAGACAGCAGCAACAUGGAUCAAAAUGCGGUUUUGUCGAAACGAGGGAAUAAUCCAGAUCUUGGGCGGCAAUCUCGCAAUCGAUCAGCUGGUCCUUCGCGUCUUUUGAAUCCCAGGAACCCAUCAUCUCCUGUAUCAUUCACGCCAAUGGCAUCGUCGUCAUCAUCACAAC